UGCUCACUUUGGCAGCAACAUACUAAAACUGGAAUGAUACCGAAAAGCUUAGUAGGAUCCUUGCACAAGGAUGACACAAAUUUGAAAUGUUCCAAAUUUUU
This 101-nucleotide small nuclear RNA is filed under the name Urocitellus parryii (Arctic ground squirrel). Lineage: Eukaryota; Metazoa; Chordata; Mammalia; Rodentia; Sciuridae. The record is from RNAcentral.